This 1403-nucleotide ribosomal RNA is filed under the name uncultured bacterium. Its description in RNAcentral is "bacterial SSU rRNA". It matches the Rfam family "Bacterial small subunit ribosomal RNA". The record is from RNAcentral.
UUAGAGUUUGAUCCUGGCUCAGGAUGAACGCUGGCGGCAGGCUUAAUACAUGCAAGUCGAACGGUAAGGUCCGAAGUGGCAACACGGAGGGCACACGAGUGGCGCACGGGUGCGUAACGCGUAUGCAACCUACCCUUGACCGGGACAAAACGUUGAGAAAUCGGCGCUAAUAUCCCAUGUGAAGACGGGGAGGCAUCUCACGGUCUUUAAAGAUUCAUUGGUCAAGGAUGGGCAUGCGUAUCAUUAGCUGGUUGGUGGGGUAACGGCCCACCAAGGCGACGAUGAUUAGGGGUUCUGAGAGGAAGGUCCCCCACACUGGAACUGAGACACGGUCCAGACUCCUACGGGAGGCAGCAGUAGGGAAUAUUGGGCAAUGGGAGCAAUCCUGACCCAGCCAUGCCGCGUGAAGGAAGAAGGCCCUACGGGUCGUAAACAUCUUUUGCCACGGAGUAACCGUCGGGACGUGUCCCGGCCUGAGAGUACGUGGCGAAUAAGUACCGGCUAACUCCGUGCCAGCAGCCGCGGUAAUACGGAGGAUACGAGCGUUAUCCGGAUUCAUUGGGUUUAAAGGGUGCGCAGGCGGACCGGUAAGUCAGGGGUGAAAUCUCGCUGCUCAACAGUGAAUGUGCCUUUGAUACUGCCGGACUAGAGUGCUGGGGGCGUGACCGGAAUGUGACGUGUAGCGGUGAAAUGCAUAGAUAUGUCACAGAACGCCGAUCGUGAAGACAGGUCACGACCCAGCCACUGACGCUCAGGCACGAAAGCGUGGGUAUCAAACAGGAUUAGAUACCCUGGUAGUCCACGCCGUAAACGAUGAACACUCGUUGUCGGGGAGCGAUUCUCGGCGGCCAAGCGAAAGCGAUAAGUGUUCCACCUGGGGAGUACGAUCGCAAGGUUGAAACUCAAAGGAAUUGACGGGGGCCCGCACAAGCGGAGGAACAUGUGGUUUAAUUCGAUGAUACGCGAGGAACCUUACCCGGGCUCGAACGGCUGGUGAAGAGAUACAGAGAUGUUGACGUCCUUCGGGACACCAGUCGAGGUGCUGCAUGGUUGUCGUCAGCUCGUGUCGUGAGAUGUUGGGUCAAGUCCCGCAACGAGCGCAACCCCUACAGCCAGUUGCUAACAGGAGAGCUGAGCACUCUGACAGGACUGCCGCCGACAAGGCGGAGGAAGGUGGGGACGACGUCAAAUCAUCAUGCCCCUUAUGGCCUGGGCUACACACGUGCUACAAUGGUCUGGAACAGAGGGAAGCGAGAUCGCGAGGUGGAGCAAAUCCCAUAAAACAGAUCUCAGUUCGGAUUGUAGGCUGCAACUCGCCUACAUGAAGUUGGAGUUGCUAGUAAUCGCGGAUCAGAAUGCCGCGGUGAAUGCGUUCCCGGGUCUUGUACUCACCGCCCGUCAAG